Molecule: ribosomal RNA, 706 nt
Filed under: Mycobacterium tuberculosis
Lineage: Bacteria; Bacillati; Actinomycetota; Actinomycetes; Mycobacteriales; Mycobacteriaceae
Description: bacterial SSU rRNA
Rfam family: Bacterial small subunit ribosomal RNA
Source: RNAcentral
UGUUGGUGGGGUGACGGCCUACCAAGGCGACGACGGGUAGCCGGCCUGAGAGGGUGUCCGGCCACACUGGGACUGAGAUACGGCCCAGACUCCUACGGGAGGCAGCAGUGGGGAAUAUUGCACAAUGGGCGCAAGCCUGAUGCAGCGACGCCGCGUGGGGGAUGACGGCCUUCGGGUUGUAAACCUCUUUCACCAUCGACGAAGGUCCGGGUUCUCUCGGAUUGACGGUAGGUGGAGAAGAAGCACCGGCCAACUACGUGCCAGCAGCCGCGGUAAUACGUAGGGUGCGAGCGUUGUCCGGAAUUACUGGGCGUAAAGAGCUCGUAGGUGGUUUGUCGCGUUGUUCGUGAAAUCUCACGGCUUAACUGUGAGCGUGCGGGCGAUACGGGCAGACUAGAGUACUGCAGGGGAGACUGGAAUUCCUGGUGUAGCGGUGGAAUGCGCAGAUAUCAGGAGGAACACCGGUGGCGAAGGCGGGUCUCUGGGCAGUAACUGACGCUGAGGAGCGAAAGCGUGGGGAGCGAACAGGAUUAGAUACCCUGGUAGUCCACGCCGUAAACGGUGGGUACUAGGUGUGGGUUUCCUUCCUUGGGAUCCGUGCCGUAGCUAACGCAUUAAGUACCCCGCCUGGGGAGUACGGCCGCAAGGCUAAAACUCAAAGGAAUUGACGGGGGCCCGCACAAGCGGCGGAGCAUGUGGAUUAAUU